Molecule: ribosomal RNA, 859 nt
Filed under: uncultured bacterium
Lineage: Bacteria
Description: partial 16S ribosomal RNA
Source: RNAcentral
GUUGAAAAAAGGAAACGCUGGCGGCGUGCCUAACUGCAGUCGAGCGGAGGAGGGGUUGUCCUUUCCGUCCGCGGCAGAGGGGUGUGAAGCUCGUGAAUCUCCUGCCUGUAGGAGUGCAACAUUUCCGGGGGAACGCUGCUAAUACCGGAUGCUUGAGGUGAAAUGCGGGGAUCUUCUAACAUGGGGCUUUUAGAUGACCCUUAAUGGGAGAACCCCGGUGGAGUUACUAAGUUGUAAAGUAACGGCCAUCCGAAGGGAGUAUGAGAGGACGAACCGGCAGGGUGGACCUGACACACUGGCCUGACUCCUAGCCCAGAACUCUUUGGGGAGUAUUGGAUAGGGAUCUUACCCCAGAGACAAACAUGCGACGGGAGUGACCACCGUGAUUUGAUUAUGUUUUCCUGUACGAAAAAUCAGUCUUCUGGAAUAAACACCUCCUUUCCGUGUACGUUACUCCCUUAACAAUCCCCAGCCAAAAUCUCCGCGGCUAAUUACGGGCAUACAGGCGGGUGUAAAACGUAAAUCGGAAUUCCUUGAUCGGAAAUAAUGGGCCUACAGGUUUCUAAGGCGGAUUUCUUAAUCCCUGAGUUAAACUCCCCGGUUUCACUCGAGAAGGGUCAUUGAAAACUGGGGGAAAUUGAUGGGCAAAAUACGAGAGGUGAAUUCCAUGUGUUACCGGUACAGUGCGUAAACUGUUGGAGAACCCCCCUUGCUGAAGUUAAAUCUUCUGCUUCAGUAUCGAACCCUGGGGGGGAAACAGGGUGAAACAACCUGGAUAUCUCCCCUGGAACCUCACCCCCUAACGAUGGAUGCUAUGGGGGAAAGGGUUUCCCCCCUUUUCUGGUAAAAUAACCCCUUG